This 473-nucleotide ribosomal RNA is filed under the name uncultured bacterium. RNAcentral describes it as "bacterial SSU rRNA". It matches the Rfam family "Bacterial small subunit ribosomal RNA", at positions 335 to 801 of the family's 1533-position model. The record is from RNAcentral.
ACCCUACGGGAGGCAGCAGUAGGGAAUCUUCCACAAUGGGCGCAAGCCUGAUGGAGCAACACCGCGUGAGUGAAGAAGGGUUUCGGCUCGUAAAGCUCUGUUGUUAAAGAAGAACACGUAUGAGAGUAACUGUUCAUACGUUGACGGUAUUUAACCAGAAAGUCACGGCUAACUACGUGCCAGCAGCCGCGGUAAUACGUAGGUGGCAAGCGUUAUCCGGAUUUAUUGGGGCGUAAAGAGAGUGCAGGCGGUUUUCUAAGUCUGAUGUGAAAGCCUUCGGCUUAACCGGAGAAGUGCAUCGGAAACCGGAUAACUUGAGUGCAGAAGAGGGUAGUGGAACUCCAUGUGUAGCGGUGGAAUGCGUAGAUAUAUGGAAGAACACCAGUGGCGAAGGCGGCUACCUGGUCUGCAACUGACGCUGAGACUCGAAAGCAUGGGUAGCGAACAGGAUUAGAUACCCUGGUAGGAUAGCG